Molecule: ribosomal RNA, 492 nt
Filed under: uncultured bacterium
Lineage: Bacteria
Description: partial 16S ribosomal RNA
Rfam family: Bacterial small subunit ribosomal RNA
Source: RNAcentral
AGUGAACGCUGGCGGUAGGCCUAACACAUGCAAGUCGAACGGCAGCACAGUAAGAGCUUGCUCUUACGGGUGGCGAGUGGCGGACGGGUGAGGAAUACAUCGGAAUCUACUUUUUCGUGGGGGAUAACGUAGGGAAACUUACGCUAAUACCGCAUACGACCUACGGGUGAAAGCAGGGGAUCUUCGGACCUUGCGCGAUUGAAUGAGCCGAUGUCGGAUUAGCUAGUUGGCGGGGUAAAGGCCCACCAAGGCGACGAUCCGUAGCUGGUCUGAGAGGAUGAUCAGCCACACUGGAACUGAGACACGGUCCAGACUCCUACGGGAGGCAGCAGUGGGGAAUAUUGGACAAAGGGCGCAAGCCUGAUCCAGCCAUACCGCGUGGGUGAAGAAGGCCUUCGGGUUGUAAAGCCCUUUUGUUGGGAAAGAAAAGCAGCAGGUUAAUACCCCGCUGUUCUGACGGUACCCAAAGAAAUAGCACCGGCUAACUUCGUG